Molecule: unclassified non-coding RNA, 394 nt
Filed under: Zea mays
Lineage: Eukaryota; Viridiplantae; Streptophyta; Magnoliopsida; Poales; Poaceae
Description: misc RNA Zm00001eb218550
Source: RNAcentral
AAAUAAUCAAGAGAACGCCUCCCAAACCAAAACCAUCCCGGUCCCCGCGCGUUCGAUCUUAGCUGCAGAGAGGGCAGGGCACGAGUCCGUUCUCGUUGCACGCGGAGCACGGCACGCGGCCGGCGCCGGCGCUGGCGUCAUGGAGCCAAUGACUGCCGCCGCACGCGCCGCACACCACGAACCACGCGCCGCCGCAGACCGCGCACGGGACCUCCGCCGCGCCGCGCCGCGCGGCGCGCCAGAGCACGGGCCGGAGCUGGGACCGCUCGUGCAGCGCCACGACCUCGUCGGCGCCGCCGAGGUACCUACCGUCCACGAACAGCCGCGGCGGCACGGGGAACGCGCCGCCGCCGCCCUCCCCCCGCCCGCAGCGAAGCAGCGCCCGGAGCUCCUC